This 266-nucleotide signal recognition particle RNA is filed under the name Piliocolobus tephrosceles (Ugandan red Colobus). RNAcentral's name for it is "Metazoan signal recognition particle RNA (ENSPTEG00000005032.1)". The stretch from base 48 to 254 matches the Rfam family "Metazoan signal recognition particle RNA", at positions 68 to 274 of the family's 299-position model. Rfam says of the family: The signal recognition particle (SRP) is a universally conserved ribonucleoprotein. It is involved in the co-translational targeting of proteins to membranes. The eukaryotic SRP consists of a 300-nucleotide 7S RNA and six proteins: SRPs 72, 68, 54, 19, 14, and 9. The record is from RNAcentral. Lineage: Eukaryota; Metazoa; Chordata; Mammalia; Primates; Cercopithecidae.
CCUGGGAGGAAAGGGGGCCUGUUAGCAGCAUAGGAUUGAGGAGUUGGAAGGGACCUUUAAGACAGCUGGUCAUUAUGCCGACCGGGUGUCCGCACUAAGUUCGGUAUUAAUAUGGUGACCUCCUGGGAGCAGGAGGCCAUCAGGUUGCCUAAGGAUGGGAGAACUGGCCCAGGUUACAAAGGGACCAGGUCAGGACUCCCGCACCAAUUGGUAGUGGGACUGUUCCUGGGCAAUAUAGCAAGAUCUUGGUUCUUAAAAGUAAUAAU